This is a long non-coding RNA of Chenopodium quinoa (quinoa), 752 nucleotides long. RefSeq lists it as uncharacterized. NCBI's taxonomy places the organism in Eukaryota, Viridiplantae, Streptophyta, Magnoliopsida, Caryophyllales, Amaranthaceae. The record is from RefSeq and is a predicted model, not a curated record. The transcript is spliced from 3 exons.
UUUUUUUUUUCUUUUAUUCUUUUUAAUUAUUAUUCUUUUUUCCAUUAUAUCUCAUCUUAUUCUCGAUCUCAAAUAGUUGAUCUCCUUCUCCUCGAAGAUAAAGGUGCAUACGCCCUACCGCAGCCGCAGUGACAAUCGUAACCACCGCUGACCACAAAUUCUCUCUUCCGUUUUCUUUUCUCACUCCUUUAGCAGUCUAGUUUUGUCUUCUUCAUCUCGAUCUUAAUUUCCUCCAAUGGCCGCAAUUUUCUAGAUAUUUUCCCGCAGAUUAAUCAAAGAUGCCCUCCUUUCCCCCAAUUUUACUUGCAGUCAUGUGAGUUCUUGAUAAUGGCGACAGAUGUUAAUCAUAAGCUUCGAUCAAAUUGCAUUGGCCUUCGAUUCAAUAAAGGUUUGGUUUGCUUGGACUACUGGAAUAAUAAUGCAUUUUGCAUAGCUUUUGCCAUUCCUACUACUGUGAAAUCCGAAUAAUGCCAAGGAUAUAAAACAUGAAGCCUAUAAAUUAGACUUUUGCUCUAUGUAUAAAAGUCGAUAGAGCAAGGGUGCAAGUUGCGACAAGGCAGGGCAUAAUAGCCCCUUGUCUUUAAGAUUCCUAGUUUUACUAUUGUAAAAAAAGAGUAUACUUGUGUAUUUGUAUAUAUACUAAUGUUUUUUUUUUUUGGGUGAAGGAGAGGGGCGAUGCCCCUGGAUGUAUUUAUACAAAUGUAAAUAUAGUAAUUAUAAUAAGUUAUAAUCAAUGUUAAAUCAUUUUAUUA